Molecule: ribosomal RNA, 379 nt
Filed under: uncultured bacterium
Lineage: Bacteria
Description: bacterial SSU rRNA
Rfam family: Bacterial small subunit ribosomal RNA
Source: RNAcentral
GGUAAACGCUGGCGGCGUGCCUAAAACAUGCAAGUCGAACGAGGAACUUCGGUUCCGAGUGGCAGACGGCUGAGUAACACGUGGAUGACCUGCCCAACUGUGGGGAAUAACUGCCCGAAAGGGUGGCUAAUACCGCAUGCGCUCACUGAUUCAUUUCAGUGAGGAAAGCCGCAAGGCGCAGAUGGAGGGGUCCGCGGCCGAUUAGCUAGUUGGUGGGGUAACGCCUACCAAGGCGACGAUCGGUAGCUGGUCUGAGAGGAUGAUCAGCCAGACUGGGACUGAGACACGGCCCAGACUCCUACGGGAGGCAGCAGUUAGGAAUUUGGCAAUGGCGAAAGCCUGACCCAGCAACGCCGCGUGGGUGACGAAGGCCUUCGGU